This 1714-nucleotide long non-coding RNA is filed under the name Oryzias javanicus (javanese ricefish). Its description in RNAcentral is "lncRNA (ENSOJAG00000022055.1)". Lineage: Eukaryota; Metazoa; Chordata; Actinopteri; Beloniformes; Adrianichthyidae. The record is from RNAcentral.
GACGAGUUUUUACCUCGACGUCCCCGGCCCCUCUUCCAACACCGACCUUGAAAGUCAAAGCCAGGUCAAGCCAGUCUGUGGUUCUGAUUUGCCAGGCCCCAAAAGGCAACCAUGGAGUUCUGUUCAAGCUGUUCCAGGAAAGAGAGGAGGUGGACUUGGUGAACUUACAGUAUGGGGCUGAAGAGGUUCAGUUCACCGUCAGGGUGGACACAAAAAAGCCUAAAAUCUUCUGCUGUCUGUACAAGGACCAGCAGGGACUCUACAGUUUAAUAAGUCCCUACUUGGAUCUAGACGACCACAACGAUGAUGCCCCUACUGUCUUGCCUUCAAUCCCCCCUCCGCUCUUGUCUGUGGAUCCCCCCACAGACGUGGUAAAACCAGGAGCCACACUCCAUUUCAGCUGCAGCAUCCCCACUCAUCAAUCCCAGUCUCAAUCCCAGUCCCAGAAGCCAUCUUCUUUUCUCCUGCUGAGGACCGCUCAGCCAACAGGGGUUACGUCGGUCAUCCUAAGCCCGAAGGCCAGUCGGGUUUCAGACACCCCGCUGCCUGGGGUUUUCACAGUGGGACCGGUGAGGAAAGGAGAUGAGGGCGAGUACAUACCAGAUUACCAAAAGACGAGGAUUGGUUAACUCAACCGCCAGCAAUGUCAUUAAAAUCAUCAUUGCAGGUGAGAAUGUUCUGGAUGAUAUUUUUGGGUUACUUUUAUAAAGUAUUAGGAAUAUUCUUGUCCAAUAUUUGGGCAUUAACCUCCAUCAUCAGAAUGUCUUGUUGGAACUCUGUUUUCUCAGACAAGCUGCCAACGCCCAGCCUCGUCCUGCAGCAGCAGACAGAUGUGUGGCACUUGCUCUGCGCCGGCUCUGCUGCGUACCCCGGUGCCACGUUCUCCCUCUUCCUGGCAGACAAUGAAGCUCCUGUUGCCACCCAAAGGGCUUCAGUAACCCAGCAUCAAGCAGUGUUCCCCCUCCCUGUCCAAGACUCCUCUGUGGCUUUGUAUGAGUGUCAAUACAGCGUCCUGCUGGGCAGCAUGUGGAGCAAUUCUGACAGAAGCGUGGCUGUGUCUGUGACUAAAGGAAACUCACCAUUGUCUUCUUCAGGUGUGGACUGGCCUCUUCUUGUGGGCUCUUCUUCUGCUGCUGUGCUGUUUCUCUGCUCACUGGUGCUCAUAGCUGUGGUAGCUCACAGAAAAGUAAAAGCAGCAGCGGAGAAAAAGAAGAAUAGGCAGGAAGCACAGUUCUGGACUAAAGUUCACGGCAGAGACCAUGUUGUUGAUCUUACUCUCCGACGAACAAGUUUUACAUAUCAGGAAUGGAACAGCGGGGUCACGGAAACGGCCUCCAGAUCAUCUCUGUGGAACCCCCUCUCUACAUUCACAACCGAGAUCCAUUAGACAUGCAAGUUUCCUCCACACACGUGUUUGUGUGUGUGCGCACUUUAUCAGAGUUUAUCUGUGUAGAAUCAAUUAGUAUUUCACAGCAGGACAGGAAAAUGUAUUGUUUCACUUUGUUUUUUUCAAAGAUUUGUGUGCUUGUGACUGUACAGUUAGACAGGAAAUGAUGCGUCUUUGAUGUUAAGCUAUUAAUGGAAUCACUGGGUUAUUACAAUUUUUCUGUAAAGAUACAUGAAUGUUUUAUUUUUAUGAUUCUAAAGGUUAAAUUUUGAUGCUAAAAAUCCCAAAUUACUUUAGUCUUUGUCUACUUGUCAGUGAUUUUCUUUG